This 301-nucleotide ribosomal RNA is filed under the name uncultured bacterium. RNAcentral describes it as "partial 16S ribosomal RNA". It matches the Rfam family "Bacterial small subunit ribosomal RNA", at positions 509 to 807 of the family's 1533-position model. The record is from RNAcentral.
CAGCCGCCGCGGGAAUACGAAGGGGGCUAGCGUUGCUCGGAAUGACUGGGCGUAAAGCGUGCGUAGGCGGUUCGUUAAGUCUGUUGUGAAAGCCCCGGGCUCAACCUGGGAAUGGCAAUGGAUACUGGCGAGCUAGAGUGUGUCAGAGGAUGGUGGAAUUCCCGGUGUAGCGGUGAAAUGCGUAGAGAUCGGGAGGAACAUCAGUGGCGAAGGCGGCCAUCUGGGACAACACUGACGCUGAGGCACGAAAGCGUGGGGAGCAAACAGGAUUAGAUACCCGCGUAGUCCCUGUCUCUUAUAC